GCUCCCGUAGUGUAGUCCGGUCAAUCACGUAGCCCUCUCAAGGCUAUAACCCGAGUUCAAAUCUCGGCGGGAGCG
Molecule: transfer RNA, 75 nt
Filed under: Nanobdellota archaeon
Lineage: Archaea; Nanobdellati; Nanobdellota
Description: tRNA-Glu
Rfam family: tRNA
About the family: Transfer RNA (tRNA) molecules are approximately 80 nucleotides in length. Their secondary structure includes four short double-helical elements and three loops (D, anti-codon, and T loops).
Source: RNAcentral